RNAcentral lists this ribosomal RNA (960 nucleotides) under uncultured bacterium. RNAcentral describes it as "bacterial SSU rRNA". It matches the Rfam family "Bacterial small subunit ribosomal RNA", at positions 537 to 1498 of the family's 1533-position model. The record is from RNAcentral.
GGGUAGAGUCGGAUAUUGGGCGUAAGAGCUUGUAGGUGGUUUGUCGCGUCUGCUGUGAAAAUCCGAGGCUCAACCUCGGACUUGCAGUGGGUACGGGCAGACUAGAGUGUGGUAGGGGAGACUGGGAUUCCUGGUGUAGCGGUGGAAUGCGCAGAUAUCAGGAGGAACACCGAUGGCGAAGGCAGGUCUCUGGGCCAUUACUGACACUGAGAAGCGAAAGCAUGGGGAGCGAACAGGAUUAGAUACCCUGGUAGUCCAUGCCGUAAACGUUGGGAACUAGGUGUGGGUCUCAUUCCACGAGAUCCGUGCCGCAGCUAACGCAUUAAGUUCCCCGCCUGGGGAGUACGGCCGCAAGGCUAAAACUCAAAGGAAUUGACGGGGGCCCGCACAAGCGGCGGAGCAUGCGGAUUAAUUCGAUGCAACGCGAAGAACCUUACCAAGGCUUGACAUACACCGGAAUCACUCAGAGAUGGGUGCGUCUUCGGACUGGUGUACAGGUGGUGCAUGGUUGUCGUCAGCUCGUGUCGUGAGAUGUUGGGUUAAGUCCCGCAACGAGCGCAACCCUCGUUCUAUGUUGCCAGCACGUGAUGGUGGGGACUCAUAGGAGACUGCCGGGGUCAACUCGGAGGAAGGUGGGGAUGACGUCAAAUCAUCAUGCCCCUUAUGUCUUGGGCUUCACGCAUGCUACAAUGGCCGGUACAAAGGGCUGCGAUACCGCGAGGUGGAGCGAAUCCCAAAAAACCGGUCUCAGUUCGGAUUGGGGUCUGUAACUCGACCCCAUGAAGUCGGAGUCGCUAGUAAUCGCAGAUCCGCAACGCUGCGGUGAAUACGUUCCCGGGCCUUGUACACACCGCCCGUCAAGUCACGAAAGUCGGUAACACCCGAAGCCGGUGGCCCAACCCUUGUGGGGGGAGCCGUCGAAAGUGGGACUGGCGAUUGGGACUAAGUCGUAACAGGUAA